This 84-nucleotide transfer RNA is filed under the name Fasciola gigantica. It matches the Rfam family "tRNA". Rfam says of the family: Transfer RNA (tRNA) molecules are approximately 80 nucleotides in length. Their secondary structure includes four short double-helical elements and three loops (D, anti-codon, and T loops). Further hydrogen bonds mediate the characteristic L-shaped molecular structure. tRNAs have two regions of fundamental functional importance: the anti-codon, which is responsible for specific mRNA codon recognition, and the 3' end, to which the tRNAs corresponding amino acid is attached (by aminoacyl-tRNA synthetases). tRNAs cope with the degeneracy of the genetic code in two manners: having more than one tRNA (with a specific anti-codon) for a particular amino acid; and 'wobble' base-pairing, i.e. permitting non-standard base-pairing at the 3rd anti-codon position. Lineage: Eukaryota; Metazoa; Platyhelminthes; Trematoda; Plagiorchiida; Fasciolidae. The record is from Rfam by way of RNAcentral.
GGUAGGUUGGCCGGGUGGUUAAGGCGGUGGACUUAAAUUCCCCUGGAUUCAAUCUCCGCGUGGGUUCGAAUUACAUACCUAUCA